AUUCUUACGCAUUUGGGUUUUGGAUAUUAAAUAAAUACUUGUUAUAACAUAUGCUGCUUUGUCGCCCCCCAUAGUCACUGUCCAUCAAAUGGAAUCUGCUAUUUGCCUACGCCAUUGCCCCUUUCCCUAUGGUUCCAAAGGAUUUCAAGGUGCAAGGCCUAGCAGAUUUCAUCAUCUUAAGAUUAACCAUGCCACCCCUCUUUCUCUCCCUCAAAUUUUCACCACCAGAAGCUCGGUUACACGUUCAUUUGGGCAUGUAAAUUGCAUGCUCGAAAGAUUCAUCUCUAUGCCCUCCGAGAAUGAGGGAAGUGGCAACAGAAUUUUGAGAGGAGUGGCAGCAGCUUCUCUGGUUCUGACAUGUGUUCUUGGAUUAUUUAGUUUUAGUGGCAAGAAUAUGAAUCCUAAACUCACUACAGCUUAUGGUAAUGGAUUAGAAUUUCCUAUUUCUAAGCCUCAAGGAAGGUUUGCUCUCAAGUCACUGUUGGAAAUACCGAAAGACGAAGAACUCGCAGAUACUCAGAAUAAGAUGCGUUCCAACUUUAGUGUGCGAGGACCUAGCCAGCAAGAAGUUAAAAACCUUAAGUGGCUCGCUAUUGGUCUAAGCAGCCAAUCUCCGGAUAGAAGACGUGAAGCACAGAAAACACUGGAAGAGCAAUACAACUGCGAGAGCGGAGAGCCAGAACAGAACCUGGAACUGGCCAUGGUAGAACUUCUCAUGUUUCAGGGAGAAUUUGAUAAAGCCCGUGAUCGGCUUGACGACAUAAUUCGUAAAAUUUCAAAAGUGUUUCAUGUCUGCCCAGCCUCUAAAUCCUUUUCAUUCUGGUGGGAGAAAGCAACCUAGCGGGAUGUCAAAACUUUACAAGACUGCCGUACAGGAAAAUAAUAUGUAUGAGAAAUUGCGGCUAGCUCGACUUAUACUUUACAAGGCCAUUGUACACACCGUGUUGGGCUCGGAACAGAAGGAAAGAGAGCAAUGGUGGAAUGCAUUCAUGGAAACAUGUAGGAAAUGAUGGGCUUAUUUCCAGCAAUGUGUCUGUGGGGUUUUCAAAUUACGAUUCAUUUACUUCCCAAACGAAUAAUGUGCCCAAAAAUAGUUUGUUUCAGUUGAAGAAUUUUUCAAAAUUAAUUUCGUGCAGGCCCUUUUUCUUUUGUAUAUCUUACAAUUAUUCAAAAUCUUAAACAAUUGAUGUCCAAUUUAAUA
Molecule: RNA transcript, 1201 nt
Organism: Glycine soja
Lineage: Eukaryota; Viridiplantae; Streptophyta; Magnoliopsida; Fabales; Fabaceae
Exons: 6
Source: RefSeq, a predicted model, not a curated record